CGGGGGGCAGAUAAGGGAAUAAAAGCAGGCUGCUGGAGCCAGCAGUGGCAACGUGCUGAGGUCAUGUUGUACACUGUGGAGGCUUUGUGCUUUUGCUUGUUGAAAUAACUCUUGCUGUUGCCCACUGUUUGGGUCCACACUGACUUUAUGAGCUGUAGCACUCACCAUGAAGGUCUGCAGCUUCACUCCUGAGACCAACAAGACCACGAACCCUCCAGGAGGAAUAAACAACUCUCCAGACGCGGCCAGACGUGCCAUCUUAAGAGUUGUAACACUCACUGCAAAGGUCUGCGGCUUCACUCUUGAAGCCAGUAAGACCACGAACCCACCAGAAAGAAGAAACUCUGAACACGUCCGAACAUCAGAAAGAACAGACUGCGGACACCCCAUCUUUAAGAACUGUAACACUCACUGCGAGGGUCUGUGGCUUCAUUCUUGAAGAGUCAAUCAGACCAACAACCCACCAAUUUCGGACACAAUUAUACAUGGCUGUCUGUAUGAGGAACUUAGAGAUGAAGAGGAAACUCACCCGAGUUCACUCAGUUAAUAAACAGGAAACAUAUCCUACUCCUAAACCAUCCACUCCGCCCUCUGCUUCUGGACAGAGAUCUUUCAUGAGUGUUGGUUGGUGACAAGAACAUGAAACUACAUAGUUUGGAAAAUUUUCAGGU
RNAcentral lists this long non-coding RNA (671 nucleotides) under Homo sapiens (human). RNAcentral's name for it is "HSALNT0297313". Lineage: Eukaryota; Metazoa; Chordata; Mammalia; Primates; Hominidae. The record is from RNAcentral.